Molecule: ribosomal RNA, 816 nt
Filed under: uncultured marine bacterium
Lineage: Bacteria
Description: bacterial SSU rRNA
Rfam family: Bacterial small subunit ribosomal RNA
Source: RNAcentral
UGCAAGUCGAACGAAAUCUUCGGAUUUAGUGGCGCACGGGUGAGUAACAUGUGGGAAUCUACCUAAAGGUUCGGAAUAACUGCGGGAAACUGUAGCUAAUACCGGAUGUGUCUGCAAAGAGAAAGAUUUAUCGCCUUUAGAUGAGCCCGCACUAGAUUAGCUAGUUGGUGAGGUAAUUGCUCCACCAAGGCUACGAUCUAUAGCUGAUUUGAGAGGAUGAUCAGCCACACUGGGACUGAGACACGGCCCAGACUCCUACGGGAGGCAGCAGUAGGGAAUAUUGGACAAUGGGGGAAACCCUGAUCCAGCAAUGCCGCGUGAGUGAAGAAGGCCCUCGGGUUGUAAAACUCUUUCAUCAAUGAUGAUAAUGACAUUAGUUGAAGAAGAAGCUCCGGCUAACUUCGUGCCAGCAGCCGCGGUAAUACGAAGGGGGCUAGCGUUGUUCGGAAUCACUGGGCGUAAAGCGUAUGUAGGCGGAUCAAAAAGUUAGAUGUGAAAUCCCUGGGCUCAACCCAGGAACUGCAUUUAAAACUAGUGAUCUAGAAUUUGGUAAAGGUUAGUAGAAUUUCCAGUGUAGAGGUGAAAUUCGUAGAUAUUGGAAAGAAUACCAGAAGCGAAGGCGACUAACUAGGCCAUUUUUGACGCUGAGAUACGAAAGCGUGGGUAGCAAACAGGAUUAGAUACCCUGGUAGUCCACGCAGUAAACGAUGAGUGCUAGUCGCUGGGACAAUAGUUUCAGUGUCGUAGCUAACGCAUUAAGCACUCCGCCUGGGAAGUACGGUCGCAAGAUUAAAACUCAAAUAAAUUGACGGGGCC